GCAUAUUUGCUGAAGAUGCUUUCAAAGUAAUAGGAGUAGAGCUCAACUUCUUCUAUGAAGUUCUCUACACGAAAGCAGUCGUUGUUCACUCCAAGUGGGGCAUGUUUUUCCGCUUCAUAUCCUCUAGUUCAGUCGUGGUAGCCCUUGCCAUCUUCCAUUUCUAGGUAAAAAAGUAUGCUUUCAACAAGAUUGAUGUUGAGAUUACUUAUUUUCUGCUGUUUGGUGCCAUAGGACUCGAUACAUUAUCCUUCCUCAUGGCCACUUUCUCCAACUGGACACUGGUGACUGUCCUAGAGAAAUUCAGAUCCUCUCAUUGGGCAUUGAGU
RNAcentral lists this unclassified non-coding RNA (326 nucleotides) under Hevea brasiliensis (rubber tree). Lineage: Eukaryota; Viridiplantae; Streptophyta; Magnoliopsida; Malpighiales; Euphorbiaceae. The record is from RNAcentral.